UAUAAUUGUCAGCUAAGUGGCGCACGGGUGAGUAAUGUAUAGAUAACCUGCCCUUAAGAAAGGAAUAACAGUUGGAAACGACUGCUAAUGCCCUAUAUGCCUUUAAUACAUAAGUAUGCAAGGGAAACGCUUUAGUGCUUAAGGAUGGGUCUGUAUGGUAUCAGCUUGUUGGUGAGGUAAUGGCUCACCAAGGCUAUGACGCCUAACUGGUUUGAGAGGAUGAUCAGUCACACUGGAACUGAGACACGGUCCAGACUCCUACGGGAGGCAGCAGUGGGGAAUAUUGCACAAUGGACGAAAGUCUGAUGCAGCAACGCCGCGUGGAGGAUGACACAUUUCGGUGCGUAAACUCCUUUUAUAUAGGAAGAUAAUGACGGUACUAUAUGAAUAAACACCGGCUAACUCCGUGCCAGCAGCCGCGGUAAUACGGAGGGUGCAAGCGUUACUCGGAAUCACUGGGCGUAAAGAGCGUGUAGGCGGGUAUAUAAGUCAGAAGUGAAAUCCAAUAGCUCAACUAUUGAACUGCUUUUGAAACUGUAUACCUAGAAUGUGGGAGAGGUAGAUGGAAUUUCUGGUGUAGGGGUAAAAUCCGUAGAGAUCAGAAGGAAUACCGAUUGCGAAGGCGAUCUACUGGAACAUUAUUGACGCUGAGACGCGAAAGCGUGGGGAGCAAACAGGAUUAGAUACCCUGGUAGUCCACGCCCUAAACGAUGUACACUAGUUGUUGUGAGGCUCGACCUUGCAGUAAUGCAGUUAACACAUUAAGUGUACCGCCUGGGGAGUACGGUCGCAAGAUUAAA
Molecule: ribosomal RNA, 800 nt
Filed under: uncultured bacterium
Lineage: Bacteria
Description: bacterial SSU rRNA
Rfam family: Bacterial small subunit ribosomal RNA
Source: RNAcentral